CCGUGCAAUAACUAAGAUAUUGCGUUUCGUAAGAAUAUUCAUUUCUACAUCGCAAGGAAAAUUCACAGCAAGCAAAAGUCAGUCGAAUGUCGUUGUAGAAGUAAAGUUUCAGGUACGCGUACGUAUUUCCCAUAGUCUUCAACCGAGGAAUGCCAAUCACAGUGUAAUUGUGAAAACAUGAAAAUACAAUAUAAACAUGACCACUACAACGAAGCCAGAACAAUCGUGUUUUUUAUAAGUGUUCUGAUGAUAAUCACGGGCUCGGAAAUACUAUUGUUUUUUCGUGCGCGCUGUGUUCUACAUCCAAAAACAUGGCAGCAAAUUCUCAAGUCUAGAAGAGACUUCUUGAACAGAAGCAUCCACAAUUGGAAACAGAACCACAAAAAGAAUAUUCAAAGCCAUCGUUAUGGCAAAAUAAUGGAAAUACUAUCGGUUAAACGUACAACAAAGUACUACGACAGGCAAUAGAAACAUGCAUGAUACACAUGAAACGGUAGUAACUUUAUGUCUCGUGUUAUACAUUUUUGAUAAAUUUAGAUGAAUGAACUCGUCUGUAAUAUAGCUGUAAUUACUUUUUGCAAGGAUACAUUGCAUUGCAAUACAACAGUUCACGUUUGCAUAAAUUUUUUCCUAACAACUUCGAAAUUAUAUGUUAAUAUGAAGUAUUGAACAAUGAUGAGCCACAAGUUGCUAUUUCUUAUCUUAUAUACUCUUUUGAGAAUUAUAUCGUUUAUUGUUUCACUUGACAAA
Molecule: long non-coding RNA, 750 nt
Organism: Xenia sp. Carnegie-2017
Lineage: Eukaryota; Metazoa; Cnidaria; Anthozoa; Malacalcyonacea; Xeniidae
Exons: 2
Source: RefSeq, a predicted model, not a curated record